ACUGUGCCUCACGUUCCUUCCAACGGCGCCUUCCAUCCCAGCUGGGCGGGGCUUCGCCGUGUUACCUUCUCAACAUGGCGAGCUUGCUGGACGUCACGUCGCCUUCGCCUUUUCCGCUGCGGACUCUGCUCACCGACCUCCUCAGUAGAGCCGGCCCUGCUCACUACCGCGCCCACGUGUCCUGUUGUGCUUCAUUCCCACAGGCCGCAUAAGAUAUUCACUGAGCACCUAAUAUUGCCAGGCUGUGCUCAAGGCAGUGGGAUUCAUCAGUGAACAAUACAGACAAAAAUCACUGACCUAAAUGGAGCUUGAAGUUUAUAUCUAAAUCAUUCAAAGAUUCUGUGGUGGAAAAGAAGUUAGAAAUCUUUCAGCUGCAAAACAUAAGCCAAAAUACAACUCACCUUUGGAAUCAGAGAACUUACAGGUUCAUAAAAUUGCGAAGCCCAGAUGUGCACCUGAGGUGAGACUUCGUCCAGCUUCUGUCUGUGUCACUAAUCUUUCCUGCUUUCAGCGGCAUCCCUCGCAGGCCCGUGUUGUUCCCAACUGGUGUUCCCACCUGGCGGCAAACUGGUGACUGUAGUUACAGAUCUUCAACAUCACACUCAGGAGAAGAAGGAGAUUGCUUUUCAGGAGCUCCUGCAAGCCGGAGAAUAAAAGCUCUUAUUUAUUCAGAAGCCCUAAAACAUACCACCUUGGCUAUAGACUAUUUGGACAUUUCUAAGCAAAUCUGUCUGCAAAGGUGCUGAGCUGUGUUGAUCAACUGAAGCCCGUGACGUCUCAUCCUUGCAGUUGGAGCAAAUCUCAAAGGCAAAGCCAGUGUUAAGGAGAGGGAAAUCAGACUUCAUCUUUCGAUGGGAGAAGAAAAGAGUUUGCAACUGUCUCUAUUCUGCCACUGGCAGAGAAUCCAUAGGUUUGCUAAGGAUACAGAGCCACAUUGAAAAGAUAAACCUUGCUAUGCUGGAGAUUACUUAGGUGGGCCAGGAUUUCUUGAAACCAAAACUUUACUGAAUCACCUCUUCACCAUCUGUAUGCCGUGCAUUUGCUGAGAGAUAAAAACAUUCCUGUGAAAGAUGCCCUUCCCUGCACCGGGAGAAAAGAAGCAUUCUGCGACCAGGAGCCAUAGCGAAGAUAAUUCUGUAGAAACAGACCGUGGUAAAAUAAUGCCUAUCUUCCUGCAGCCUCCCCACGUAAUUUAGUUACUUUUCCACAGCUGCUUCUUUUUGCUCAACCUAAUAUCAAAGCAGUUAGGUAUUGCCAUUUCUUUGGGUCUUCAUUUUCUUAUUCAGGCUCCUGUGCCAUGUAAAACCUCUAUUAAAUUUGUAUGAUUUUCUCCUGAUAACCUACCUAUGUCAACUUCACUCUCAGAUCCAGCCAGGAACUAAGAAGGCAGAGGUAGAGUCUCACUUCUCCUCUACAGCAACAGCAAAUGAGGCCGCACCAGAUAAAGAAGCCAGGAGACUUGUGUCAAAACCCACUUCACACACGGAUUGGCUCUGUGAAUGUAGCAUCUUGCUCUGUUGCCCAAGCUGGAGUGCAGU
RNAcentral lists this long non-coding RNA (1538 nucleotides) under Homo sapiens (human). Its description in RNAcentral is "HSALNT0324288". Lineage: Eukaryota; Metazoa; Chordata; Mammalia; Primates; Hominidae. The record is from RNAcentral.